ACCCUAAGGCCAGCGGGAGAACUGUUGUUAAGGAACUCGGCAAAAUGACCCCGUAACUUCGGGAGAAGGGGUGCCUUCGAAAGAAGGCGCAGAGAAUAGGCCCAAGCGACUGUUUACCAAAAACAUAGGUUUCUGCUAAGUCGCAAGGCGAUGUAUAGGAGCUGACGCCUGCCCGGUGCUGGAAGGUUAAGGGGAUCUGUUAGAGCAAUCGAAGCAGUGAACUUAAGCCCCAGUAAACGGCGGCCGUAACGAUAACGGUCCUAAGGUAGCGAAAUUCCUUGUCGGGUAAGUUCCGACCCGCACGAAAGGCGUAACGAUUUGGGCACUGUCUCAACAACAGACUCGGUGAAAUUGUAAUACCGGUGAAGAUGCCGGUUACCUGCGACAGGACGGAAAGACCCCAUGGAGCUUUACUGUAGCUUGACAUUGAGUCUCGGUGCUACAUGUACAGGAUAGGUGGGAGACUAUGAAGCAUGGACGUCAGUCUGAGUGGAGUCAUCCUUGGGAUACCACCCUUGUAGUACUGGGAUUCUAACCAGAGGCCAUGAAUCUGGUCUUGGGACACUGUCAGGUGGACAGUUUGACUGGGGCGGUCGCCUCCCAAAAAGUAACGGAGGCGCUCAAAGGUUCUCUCAGUACGGUCGGAAAUCGUACGAAGAGUGUAAAGGCAAAAGAGAGCUUGAUUGCAAGACAUACAGGUCGAGCAAGGACGAAAGUCGGACUUAGUGAUCCGGUGGUUCCGCAUGGAAGGGCCAUCGCUCAACGGAUAAAAGCUACCCUGGGGAUAACAGGCUGAUCUCCCCCAAGAGUCCACAUCGACGGGGAGGUUUGGCACCUCGAUGUCGGCUCAUCACAUCCUGGGGCUGUAGUAGGUCCCAAGGGUUGGGCUGUUCGCCCAUUAAAGUGGUACGCGAGCUGGGUUCAGAACGUCGUGAGACAGUUCGGUCCCUAUCCGUCGCAGGCGUAGGAAAUUUGAGGAGACCUGUCCUUAGUACGAGAGGACCGGGAUGGACGUACCGCUGGUGCACCAGUUGUUCUGCCAAGGGCAUGGCUGGGUAGCUAAGUACGGAAAGGAUAAGCGCUGAAAGCAUCUAAGCGCGAAGCCCACUUCAAGAUAAGAUUUCCCACCGCAAGGUUAAGAUCCCAGGAAGACUACCUGGUUGAUAGGUCAGAGGUGUAAGUGCAGUAAUGUAUUUAGCUUACUGAUACUAAUAGAUCGAGGACUUGACCU
RNAcentral lists this ribosomal RNA (1231 nucleotides) under metagenome. Its description in RNAcentral is "bacterial LSU rRNA". It matches the Rfam family "Bacterial large subunit ribosomal RNA", at positions 1678 to 2925 of the family's 2925-position model. The record is from RNAcentral.